Molecule: transfer RNA, 76 nt
Filed under: Candidatus Omnitrophota bacterium
Lineage: Bacteria; Pseudomonadati; Candidatus Omnitrophota
Description: Candidatus Omnitrophica bacterium tRNA-Thr
Rfam family: tRNA
About the family: Transfer RNA (tRNA) molecules are approximately 80 nucleotides in length.
Source: RNAcentral
GCCGAUGUAGCUCAGUUGGUAGAGCAGUGCUUUCGUAAAGCUCAGGUCGGAGGUUCAAAUCCUCUCAUCGGCUCCA